This 324-nucleotide ribosomal RNA is filed under the name uncultured eukaryote. RNAcentral's name for it is "partial 18S ribosomal RNA". It matches the Rfam family "Eukaryotic small subunit ribosomal RNA", at positions 1470 to 1796 of the family's 1831-position model. The record is from RNAcentral.
CCCUUAGAUGUCCUGGGCUGCACGCGCGCUACACUGAUGUGUCCAGUAAGCACCUAACCUCUUCCGAAAGGAACGGGUAACCUUUGCAAAGCACAUCGUGAUGGGGAUAGAUUAUUGCAAUUAUUAGUCUUGAACGAGGAAUUCCUAGUAAGCACAAGUCAUCAGCUUGUGUUGAUUACGUCCCUGCCCUUUGUACACACCGCCCGUCGCUCCUACCGAUUGAAUGUUCCGGUGAGCUCUUCGGACUGCGCGGUCUGCAGUUUCUGCGGUCCGUGCGGAAAGUUGCGCAAACCUUAACAUUUAGAGGAAGGAGAAGUCGUAACA